CAGCAUGUUAGUCAGAGGAACUGAAGCUUGUCCUCCUGAGCUGAAGAAGCCCUGCAGCUGAAUUCAAGUCAGUGAAGAAUACUGAAGAGCCAGAGCUAAUGUGAAGCUACCAGCAUGAGGCACGGACUGCAGAUGGCCUGUCAGAAGGUCACACACAGGAACACUCACAACAGAUUUGACAAAACACAAAGAAGGUGCCAAUGUGUGAUUUCUAAGGAUAGGUACAGCACUUGACCCAAGCUUUAAGAAUCUGAAGUGCCUUUCAAAAUCUGAGAGGGAUGAGGUGUGG
This is a long non-coding RNA of Trachemys scripta elegans, 289 nucleotides long. RefSeq lists it as uncharacterized. Lineage: Eukaryota; Metazoa; Chordata; Testudines; Emydidae. The record is from RefSeq and is a predicted model, not a curated record. The transcript has 3 exons.